GCUUGUACUUGUAGAAGCCCUGAAGUUUGUCCAGGUCUCAAGUAAAGACUACAAUUUUAGAACAGAUCAACUGAAAUCAAUUCGUCAAGAUAUGACUAUCCAGAACAUAGAGGAUGAACUUUCUGUGCAGGUUUAUGAGUAUCAUGCAAGACUUGCGUUGUGCAAUCGAGAUAUGGCUGAACUUAACUUGUGCCUCACGAAGCUGCACUGCCUCUAUGGGAAUAAGCGGAAUGGUGGCCAUCAUGGUGAAUUUGCAGCUUA
Long non-coding RNA from Triticum aestivum (bread wheat), 261 nucleotides. RefSeq lists it as uncharacterized. The record is from RefSeq and is a predicted model, not a curated record. The transcript is spliced from 3 exons. NCBI's taxonomy places the organism in Eukaryota, Viridiplantae, Streptophyta, Magnoliopsida, Poales, Poaceae.